Molecule: long non-coding RNA, 2258 nt
Organism: Suricata suricatta (meerkat)
Lineage: Eukaryota; Metazoa; Chordata; Mammalia; Carnivora; Herpestidae
Source: Ensembl
UCUGGAAAGAACAGAGGCAGGAGCGAAGUGAGGGCAAUCCUGAGCUCGCUUUCUCUGGGCAGUGCAUCCCGUGCAGCCUGCCCAGUAAAACGACUCUCUCCGAACAGCAGCCCCCCGGGGGACCGGGGCUCGAGGCCGCAGGGGCGGCUCGGGGCGGCUCGGGGGGCUGAGGACUCCCGGAAUUGCUCAAAAUGGCAGCACUAUAAGCAAACAAUAUCGCUCACUUACCCGGGAAGGCUGGGGCAGCUCGGGGUCGGCGAACGGGCGCUCGGACAACACAAAGGAACCAUGGAGAAACUUUUUCAGCCCGAGCCGACGGCGGGGCGCAGGGACAGCGCCUCGGGGCCCUCCAGGCGAGCGCGGCUCAGCAGCCCAGCGGGGGCGAGCGCCCGCCCCAGGUUCGCAGCCCCUCCCGCUGCCGUGGCGGGAGCCAUUUCCAAGAGUUUCCAAGAAGUGUCAGGUCCUCCGCAGCCCGCAUCCUGCCUCGGAGGCGUGCUCCCCGCCGCCGCUCCUCCUGCGCCUCUCGGCGAGCCCCGCCGCGGCGCUCCCGGGCCGGCCCCAGCGCCUCUUUUGUGUGGCUGCNNNNNNNNNNNNNNNNNNNNNNNNNNNNNNNNNNNNNNNNNNNNNNNNNNNNNNNNNNNNNNNNNNNNNNNNNNNNNNNNNNNNNNNNNNNNNNNNNNNNCCAUCCCCGCCCCCGGGGCGCCCCGGGACCGCCGCCCGCCUACGCUGGGAGCUUUGUUCUUUUCCCUCCAACUACCUGUCUGAGCAGCGGGCCGGAGGGGGCCCCAAGGACGGGCCGUCGCUCCCGAGGGUCUCCCCAGCGGCAUCCGAGGGACGCUCUGGGGUGAGAGAGGGGGUAGUGCCCGCGUCUCCCGCCCGCCUGCCCUCCUUUCCUCCCUCUCCCCUCUCCUCUUUUGUUGCCUCUACUCUCGGACCGGCACAGCCUUGGCUGUUUCUCUCUCUCCCGCUUGGGAGUUUGCAGUGUGGACGCACAGCGAGCACACAUCUCAAGAACUGGAGCUCAGGACAACAUUUGGAACCUGUUGGAGCAGAAGAGUAAUGGAGGCCUUGAGGAGAAAAGAAGAGGAAAAAGAUGAGUUUUGUUUAGUUGGAUUAAACUGUGACCUGAAACCUGUCAUUUGCUCUUUCUUAAACACAAUCCUUAUGUAAUUCUUUCAGUUUUGUAAUUUAUUCACAAUCCAUGUGCUUCCCCGGAUCAUUUCAUCAAGCUGGGCUGGCUACCCCGCCUGGGCUCCUGGGGCUGCUCAGCCACGGAUCCACACAGGCCUCUCUUGGUCUCCAGAAGCUUGCAGGGGGAGCGGGUUUGCUUGUGUCAACAGCUCAGCAGCUGGGACCUCUCCGCACACCCUGCCGUCACCGACUGCUCAGGCUGCAGAAGGAAAUAGAGGCAGUUUAGUGUACUGGAUUCUGGACCCAGUUUGUAUCCUCCUAACUAGUUACUUCAUUUCAGUAAGUAAAUGACCGAUCUUGGCUGCCUCAGUUUCCUCCUCCGUAACGGGGAUAAUGAUACUAACACCUAUCUCAUAGCAUUAUUGUGAGGAAUAAACACGUUUAGUUCCUGUAAACUAAUGCCUAGUACGUGGUAAACACUCAUUAAAUUUAGCUCUCAACCUUGUUAGUCCUAACGUCUUCUCCCAGCUUGUCUUCCUCACUCUCCCAUUCUGUUCCCAUUCUCCAGGAUCCACAGGGGACCGUAUCUGCACUUGAACUCUGAGGAAUGGAGUUACAGAAUCGGCUGCCGGGUGUGAGCGAUGACGCCCGUGUGGCGGAGCCCCAGUGCCGCUCAUGAAAGCCUGCGGUCUGGGAGAAAGGACACACUUCCUCUGCGGCUGCUUUUCCUCGCUUUGCGGUUCGCCAGGACCCUUUAAUUUCAUUUUGCUGGAUAACCCAGCUUUCAAACUCAUGUCCUCAUACUGUCAGAUUCAAAGUCUGUGAAAACACGACCAAGAGAACAUUCUUCGGCCUGAAGGUUUGAGGAUACCACAGGAUGGACCCCCAGCCCUUUUCUGGCAUCCCAACAGCAGAAGAAGGAACUUGUGAUCCCAAAGCUGAACACGGAGCAUAAAAUCCCUCCUCUUCCCUUGUUGCUUCUUCACCCUCUUCAAACACCUGCCAGUAAGAGGCAACAUGACAGACCAAAGCGCGACCAAAAAAAAAAAAAAAAGCAAUAAGCCAAGCAAUAGAUUUAGCAAAUAAAAAUAUUGCCUGGGGCAUAAACCUGGAAAGGAUUUGUCGUU